Molecule: ribosomal RNA, 253 nt
Filed under: uncultured microorganism
Description: partial 16S ribosomal RNA
Rfam family: Bacterial small subunit ribosomal RNA
Source: RNAcentral
UACGUAGGGUGCGAGCGUUAAUCGGAUUUACUGGGCGUAAAGAGCUCGUAGGCGGUAGUUCAAGUCAGGUGUGAAAUCCGACGGCUUAACCGGAGGACUGCACCUGAUACUGGGCUGCUAGAGGUAAGGAGAGGAAGGUGGAAUUCCCGGUGUAGCGGUGAAAUGCGUAGAGAUCUGGAGGAAUACCGGUGGCGAAGGCGGCCCCCUGGACAAAGACUGACGCUCAGGCACGAAAGCGUGGGGAGCAAACAGG